RNAcentral lists this ribosomal RNA (425 nucleotides) under uncultured bacterium. RNAcentral's name for it is "bacterial SSU rRNA". It matches the Rfam family "Bacterial small subunit ribosomal RNA", at positions 356 to 773 of the family's 1533-position model. The record is from RNAcentral.
GGGGAAUUUUGGACAAUGGGCGCAAGCCUGAUCCAGCCAUGCCGCGUGCAGGAUGAAGGCCUUCGGGUUGUAAACUGCUUUUGUACGGAACGAAAAGCCUUUCUCGAAUAAAGAGAGGUCAUGACGGUACCGUAAGAAUAAGCACCGGCUAACUACGUGCCAGCAGCCGCGGUAAUACGUAGGGUGCAAGCGUUAAUCGGAAUUACUGGGCGUAAAGCGUGCGCAGGCGGUAAUGUAAGACAGAUGUGAAAUCCCCGGGCUCAACCUGGGAACUGCAUUUGUGACUGCAUUGCUGGAGUGCGGCAGAGGGGGAUGGAAUUCCGCGUGUAGCAGUGAAAUGCGUAGAUAUGCGGAGGAACACCGAUGGCGAAGGCAAUCCCCUGGGCCUGCACUGACGCUCAUGCACGAAAGCGUGGGGAGCAAAC